CCCAAGCCUAGAAAGAAGCCUGCUCUUCAAAGAUGAGCGUGCACUGGCGCUGGCAAAUGGCUAACAAGGACCGGGAUCCAAAAGGCAUCAAGAACUUCCAAAGCUCAGCAAGAAAACAAAUAACCCGAUUUUUAAAAAACAGGCCAAGAAACCGCAUGAAAACCUAAGCCUGAACACACACUUCACCACAGAAGAAAUGCUCACAGCAAUAAACACACGGAAAGAUGCCCAACGUCACUGGCCCCAGGGGAGAUGAGAACGAAACACGGUGAGGCGGAAGACCAGACCAGGUGCCCGUGGGGGCGGGGGACCCAGAGACAGAGCUCCAGCCGCCAGGGCGCUCCCCCCGCAGGCCUGUGCCCGGCCCCUGCACCCCCAGGUACUGCCCUAAGUGGGGGUGGGGGUGGACAUUCAUGCCCAUACACAUGUGCUUUCCCGGUAAGCCCCCAAACCAGGGACAACCCACCUUCCGAUUCCCUUCAUACAAAAAGUACAAGAGGGACUUCCCUGGUGGCCCAGGGGUUAGGACUCCAUGCUCGCAACGCAGAGGACACAGGUUCAAUCCGUGGUCAGGGAGAUCUGCUAGAGAAGGGACAGGCCACCCACUGCAGUAUUCUCAGGCUUCCCUGGUGGCUUAGCUGGUAA
Molecule: long non-coding RNA, 645 nt
Filed under: Ovis aries (sheep)
Lineage: Eukaryota; Metazoa; Chordata; Mammalia; Artiodactyla; Bovidae
Description: lncRNA (ENSOARG00000026128.1)
Source: RNAcentral